Molecule: ribosomal RNA, 253 nt
Filed under: uncultured bacterium
Lineage: Bacteria
Description: partial 16S ribosomal RNA
Rfam family: Bacterial small subunit ribosomal RNA
Source: RNAcentral
GACGGAGGGUGCUAGCGUUGUUCGGAAUCAUUGGGCUUAAAGCGUGUGCAGGCGGCGGCGUAAGUGUCGAGUGAAAGCCUGCGGCUCAACCGCAGAACGGCUCGGCAUACUGCGUCGCUUGAGGUCGGUAGAGGUGCCUGGAACUCUAGGUGGAGCGGUGAAAUGCGUAGAUAUCUAGAGGAACGCCUGAGGCGAAAGCGGGGCACUGGGCCGAUUCUGACGCUGAGACACGAAAGCGUGGGGAGCAAACAGG